GAUGAACGCUGGCGGCGUGCCUAAUACAUGCCAGUCGAGCGAACAGACGAGGAGCUUGCUCCUCUGACGUUAGCGGCGGACGGGUGAGUAACACGUGGAUAACCUACCUAUAAGACUGGGAUAACUUCGGGAAACCGGAGCUAAUACCGGAUAAUAUAUUGAACCGCAUGGUUCAAUAGUGAAAGACGGUUUUGCUGUCACUUAUAGAUGGAUCCGCGUCGCAUUAGCUAGUUGGUAAGGUAACGGCUUACCAAGGCAACGAUGCGUAGCCGACCUGAGAGGGUGAUCGGCCACACUGGAACUGAGACACGGUCCAGACUCCUACGGGAGGCAGCAGUAGGGAAUCUUCCGCAAUGGGCGAAAGCCUGACGGAGCAACGCCGCGUGAGUGAUGAAGGUCUUCGGAUCGUAAAACUCUGUUAUUAGGGAAGAACAAAUGUGUAAGUAACUAUGCACGUCUUGACGGUACCUAAUCAGAAAGCCACGGCUAACUACGUG
This 497-nucleotide ribosomal RNA is filed under the name uncultured bacterium. Its description in RNAcentral is "partial 16S ribosomal RNA". It matches the Rfam family "Bacterial small subunit ribosomal RNA", at positions 28 to 507 of the family's 1533-position model. The record is from RNAcentral.